AGAGAAUUUUGGCAGGUGCAACUGAUUCAAAUUGUACUGGAUGAAACUUCAUUUUCUAUACCUCUAUGAAAGGUACAGGGGCCAUGUACUCUUCUGCAUCUAGAAUAUAUUCGAGGAACAAUUGGCACCACAUGGCAGGAAGAGUCAUUGAUCACUGCUCCAUUUUUAAGACUUGUUGCAAGAAAGCAUGUUCUUCAUAAAACAAGGAUUUGUAUCCAUGCAUUGUACCAUACAACAGUGUUAUAUAGAAUACUGCCCACCUCCUCCAGGACCAGAUCAAAGGCUGGGGAGAGCUGCACACUGGCCUUUUCAAGUGAUGAUUGUAUUGAUGCAUGACCCAGCUGCGCUUCAGCUUCAGCUGACGGACAGAUGGCCUGACAUUCGCAUGUAGAAUUCUCUGAGACAAAGCAGAAUUCAUGGUUCCUUCAAUGAUGACAAGUUGUCCAGAUCCUGAUGUAGCAAAGCAUCCCCAAACCGUGACUCAGCCACCACCAUGCUUGACCGUUGAUAUGAGGUUCUUCAUGUGGAAUGCAGUGUUUGGUUUUCGCCAGACAACCAAGAUAUUCAAACUUCUGGCCCUAAUAAUCCCUUUCAUUGGGUUGAGUUAAUAGGGGACAGUUACUUUUUCACACAGGGGCAUUGGGUGUUGCCUAACUUUCUU
This is a long non-coding RNA of Rhineura floridana, 661 nucleotides long. RefSeq lists it as uncharacterized. NCBI's taxonomy places the organism in Eukaryota, Metazoa, Chordata, Lepidosauria, Squamata, Rhineuridae. The record is from RefSeq and is a predicted model, not a curated record. The transcript is spliced from 3 exons.